Acyrthosiphon pisum (pea aphid) is the source of this 967-nucleotide long non-coding RNA. RefSeq lists it as uncharacterized. The record is from RefSeq and is a predicted model, not a curated record. Lineage: Eukaryota; Metazoa; Arthropoda; Insecta; Hemiptera; Aphididae. The transcript is spliced from 3 exons.
CAGAAUAGGUAGCUAUCAUAUUACUGCAAGCAUUUAAACACGUAAUACCACUAUAGCAGUAAACCAUUAAACAAAAUAUAUUGGUUGUAUUACUUGGUAUCUUCUAUAUUAAAUAAAAUGCAUGAUUUAAAUUUACAGAUGAAGCUACCAUAGCUAUUCAAUCUUUUGAAGACGAUGUGCUGGAUGCCUUAUGUCCUUCAUCUAUAACUUCAUGUGUGCGAUGUGCGGUGCAUACCUUGCAACUAUGUAUUCUGGAUGGGUUUAAAAAUGCACCAAUAACCAGUUGUAUAGUUCAAGCGAGAAAGGUGGUGAAGAAAUUAAGAACUCCAAAGUAGAGCGUCUACAUUAUAACAAACAUACUUACAUUUAGGGAAUCCCAAAAACAUGAAAAGUCUGAUCUUUAUAAGUUAGCAAAUGUUGUUCUUGCUGUACCCGCUACUCAGUUAGUGUUGAACGGAGUUUUAGUGGAAUAAAGUUCAUAUUAUCUGAUCUACGUACAUCCUUAUCAGCCAAUUUAUUAGAUGCUAUAAUGAUUGUACGCUCAAACACACAAUUUAUGAAAUAAAUAUGAAAUUCAAUAAAGUUUACUAACUAGGAGUUGAUGAUUAAAAGCUUCCUCAUUUUGUAAUUGGUUUAACUAACUGUAAUUGGUUUAAUUAAAAAGUUUAAUAAAAAUAUGAUUUGUUUUAUGUUUUUUUGGAUUUAUAUUACAAUAAUAAAUAAAUUAUUGAGAUGUUCCUACCGUCUAUAUCUUUAUUCUUUAUUUUUAUUUUCUUUAGUAGAAAUUGAAAAUGUCCAAAAGUAUGACAAUUUAUUGGCUUAUUAUGUUAUCUGUUGGGUGGCUUUUUAGUAUUUUGUGAUUUAAAAAGUCUAAACAAUAGCUAAAGUUAAGCCUUUUAGGCUUGGGAAUUGUUAUUUGAAUAGCUGAGACAGAAAUUUAGCUCAUAUGAACAAAAUCUAAACUAAA